UGGGGAAUAUUGCGCAAUGGGGGGAACCCUGACGCAGCCAUGCCGCGUGAAUGAAGAAGGCCUUCGGGUUGUAAAGUUCUUUCGGUAUUGAGGAAGGUUGAUGUGUUAAUAGCACAUCAAAUUGACGUUAAAUACAGAAGAAGCACCGGCUAACUCCGUGCCAGCAGCCGCGGUAAUACGGAGGGUGCGAGCGUUAAUCGGAAUAACUGGGCGUAAAGGGCACGCAGGCGGUUAUUUAAGUGAGGUGUGAAAGCCCCGGGCUUAACCUGGGAAUUGCAUUCCAAACGGGUAACUUAAAUAAUUUAAGGAAGGGGAAAAAUUCCCCUGGAACGGUGAAAUGGCUAAAAAAGGGGAAGAAUAACCAAAGGCAANGGCGCCCCCUGGGAAAGGACCGGCNCUUCNGGUGCAAAGCCUGGGGGAGNAANCNGGAUAAAAUACCCGGUUNGCCNNNNUGGAAACNNUGGCNAAUUUGGGGUUGGGGGUUAACUUCUGGNGCCCGNAGCUAANNNGNNAAUCCGACNGCCUGGGGAAGUACGNCGCNGNUA
RNAcentral lists this ribosomal RNA (545 nucleotides) under uncultured bacterium. Its description in RNAcentral is "partial 16S rRNA". It matches the Rfam family "Bacterial small subunit ribosomal RNA", at positions 355 to 891 of the family's 1533-position model. The record is from RNAcentral.